This 250-nucleotide ribosomal RNA is filed under the name uncultured bacterium. RNAcentral's name for it is "partial 16S ribosomal RNA". It matches the Rfam family "Bacterial small subunit ribosomal RNA", at positions 524 to 773 of the family's 1533-position model. The record is from RNAcentral.
UACGAGGGCUCCAAGCGUUAUCCGGAUUUAUUGGGCGUAAAGGGUCCGUAGGCGGUUUAUCGCAUCUUCCGUUAAAUCCCCCGGCUUAACCGGGGAACCGCGGAAGAGAUGGGUAAACUAGAGGAUGGGAGAGGUAAGCGGAAUUGCUAGUGUAGGGGUUAAAUCCGUUAAUAUUAGCAGGAACACCAAAUGCGAAAGCAGCUUACUUGAACAUUCCUGACGCUGAGGGACGAAAGCGUGGGGAGCGAAU